UUAGAAUGGCGAUAAUUCCGAACAUGAAGAUGUUCUUCUUGAUUAUUUACAACAACGGAAUCAAUCCUUGCAAGAGGUGAAUAAGAAGAGUAUCAGGAACACGAGAAACGGUGAAAAUCAAGAGUGACAUCAGCAAGUUGUUUGUUUAUGAUUUUUGGGUGUUAUGUAUGACACAAAAAGUCGUGCGAUCGAAAUAAGAAAAGCUGCUUCAACUUUAGUUUGGUUGCACGGCUCAGAUAAAAUGUGGAGAAAUUCUAGGAUGGGAGGAGCCUGCUGUACUAUCGUAGCGUCUGAUCCUUCCACGUCAAACUCAAAUGAGAUCGUUCAGCUGGUUUUUCGUCCAAGGGUAAAUGACUGACCGAUUAAAUGAUUUGCCAUUCCAUAUUAGGUUAUAUUUUAAAGAAAAAGAUACGAAUGUUGUUAGAUCUUAUUUUUGGCGACUACAUUUCUUUAUCUACAGGUUAUAGCAGAGGCGUGAUUCGCUUAAUCAUGUUGAGAUUUGUCUUAAUUCAGUCAAAGGAUAAUUAAACAGGAAAAAUCGAG
Long non-coding RNA from Daphnia pulicaria, 543 nucleotides. RefSeq lists it as uncharacterized. The record is from RefSeq and is a predicted model, not a curated record. The transcript is spliced from 2 exons. Lineage: Eukaryota; Metazoa; Arthropoda; Branchiopoda; Diplostraca; Daphniidae.